UACGUAGGGUCCAAGCGUUAUCCGGAAUCACUGGGCGUAAAGCGUGCGUAGACGGCUAUCUAAGUCGGGUGUGAAAGCCCCGGGCUCAACCUGGGAAUUGCAUUCGAGACUGAAUAGCUAGGGUACGGUAGAGGGAAGCGGAAUUUCCGGUGUAGCGGUGAAAUGCGUAGAUAUCGGAAGGAACAUCAGUGGCGAAAGCGGCUUCCUGGACCAGUACCGACGUUCAGGCACGAAAGCGUGGGGAGCAAACAGG
RNAcentral lists this ribosomal RNA (253 nucleotides) under uncultured bacterium. RNAcentral describes it as "partial 16S ribosomal RNA". It matches the Rfam family "Bacterial small subunit ribosomal RNA", at positions 524 to 776 of the family's 1533-position model. The record is from RNAcentral.